GGACCUGCUCAUUUCGUGUUUCCUAAGUGUUAUUCUUAUUUAAGUUUUAAAAAGUAUAUAGAAAGGUUAAGGUAUAAAUAUAUACGAAGUAUGAAAUAGUUUUAAAUUGAUAACUGUCAAACUCAUUUACUACCGAUUCAAAAUAUGUACUUAUUUAUAUUCCUGAUUAUUGUUUGUAAUUCAUCUCAAGGGCAUGGCUAUUCUGCAUUUGAAUAUACAAAAAAGGCUUUGGAAAGUAUUAUCCUUCUCCCUCUUCCAUUUGGAAAAUAGAGGAAAAGAGUCUUUGAAAGGUGAAUACCUCAAAAGUUCAUUCAAUACUUCCCAAAAUGUCUCAGGAUUUACGGCAUUUUAUUUUCCAAAGUCUUUGGGAAAAUUAAGCCCAGACUGAUAAUCUAACGACCAUUUUGUGGUGUUGCAGUGUUAUUUUUCUUGAAAGUCAUUAUGACAAGAUAAAGCAAAUUAAAAAAAUCCUAGUUCAUAUUUGAAUUGGGUAUUGAACAGACUGCUCUGCACCCAGAGAAAACUUAAAAGUAAAGGGCAACACAUCCAUAAAUUGAGCUUUUGAAUCAAUGUUAUUUUUGUAGUUCCUUCAUUUUAAUACCUGAAAAUCACUAACCAUGGAUGCUACUGAGAACUAAGACUAGAUAAGAACUGAAGACGGGAAGAUGAACUACUCGUGGAGCAACUUCCAGUACUGCAAGCUUCACUCAUGGAAGUGCCCUAUACAAGGUGAAGUCUUGCAAGAAAAUGAAGUAAUGUUAUUGGAAACUGAAGAAAAGGGGAUCCUUAUUAUACUGUAUAGUGGCAGAAAGUUCAACAACAUUGUUGCCUGAAGUAACUGAAUGGUAGAAAGUGUGUCUAAUGAACUGGGUGAUCUAGCUAGAGAGAUUUCCAAGCAAAGGUUUCUUCUUGUUGCUUACAGCAAAAUGUAAGAGGAGAGAGAGAAACUAAAGGAAGAACUGUUAAACAACAAGGAGACAGAAUUUGCUGGUUUUGAAAAUUCUCAGCCUCUCCAAAUGGCAAACAAUGCUAAAGUUAAGAUAUAGCUUCUGAGCAAAAAUCAAAUCCAGGGCACUACCAGUAAAACACGGUCCAAAGAAAAAGCCAAAGGUGUGGCUAUAAAAUCUUUUGUUAGUCUCAAAAAGAUUUAAGGUUGCGCAUUAGAGUACUAUUGAGUCAGACAAAAGGGCUUCUAAGGAGAUUAAAGGUAUAUCUCUUUAGGAGAUUAAAGGCAUAGUCUCUUAAUAAAAUGGUAAAGUGUCUAGGAAACUUAAGUUCAUUGUCCCUCAGCCAUCCCAUCAGAAGCCCAAGGUAGAGAAGAGCUUAUUUGAAAGAUAUUUGUAGGUGUGGCUUUGUCUAAUGGGGUAGACCCCCAUAAGAUUCAUGGAAGACUCAUAAAAUUUUUUAAAGAAUUAUGUAUGCAGAAAUAUUGUCACCUUGGACCAAAAGGGAUAAAGAUGGGACAAAAUAAAAAGAGGCCUUUAGACCCUCAAAUUUCUACUAGGAAGAAGUAGGCUGAGAAAAUUCCUCAUCUAUAAGUAUGGGCUAUCUUUCAUGAAAAAGGGAGGAUGACCUAGAAGUCAGAACCAAGACCCCAGAACAUGAUGCUGAGAGCCAGGGAGAAUUAUUCCCCAGCCUUGAGACUUAAUCAAGGAACUUUCAACAUUAGCUUAGCUGGAUUUCAGAAUUAUAAUGGACCAGUGACUCCUUUGUGCCUGCCAUCUCCCCUCCUUUUGAACAG
This 1741-nucleotide long non-coding RNA is filed under the name Equus caballus (horse). RNAcentral's name for it is "lncRNA (ENSECAG00000044363.1)". Lineage: Eukaryota; Metazoa; Chordata; Mammalia; Perissodactyla; Equidae. The record is from RNAcentral.